This 247-nucleotide ribosomal RNA is filed under the name uncultured bacterium. RNAcentral's name for it is "partial 16S ribosomal RNA". It matches the Rfam family "Bacterial small subunit ribosomal RNA", at positions 523 to 769 of the family's 1533-position model. The record is from RNAcentral.
AUACGUAGGGGGCCUAGCGUUGUCCGGAUUUACUGGGCGUAAAGGGUGAGUAGGCGGUUACAUAUGUCAGAUGUAAAAGGCUAAGGCUUAACCAUAGUAUGCAUUUGAAACUGUGUGACUUGAGUACAGGAGAGGUAAGCGGAAUUCCUAGUGUAGCGGUGAAAUGCGUAGAUAUUAGGAGGAACACCAGUGGCGAAGGCGGCUUACUGGACUGUAACUGACGCUGAGUCACGAAAGCGUGGGUAGC